RNAcentral lists this ribosomal RNA (1200 nucleotides) under bacterium. RNAcentral describes it as "bacterial SSU rRNA". It matches the Rfam family "Bacterial small subunit ribosomal RNA", at positions 165 to 1346 of the family's 1533-position model. The record is from RNAcentral.
AAUACCCCAUACGAUCCAAUGACGACGGUCAUUGGAUGAAAGGGGCGUUUCGCCUCGCCGAGGGAUGAGCCCGCGGCCCAUCAGGUAGUUGGUGGGGUAAUGGCCCACCAAGCCUACGACGGGUAGCUGGCCUGAGAGGGUGGUCGGCCACAAGGGCACUGAGACACGGGCCCUACUCCUACGGGAGGCAGCAGUGGGGAAUCUUGGACAAUGGGCGAAAGCCUGAUCCAGCGACGCCGCGUGGGGGACGAAGCCCUUCGGGGUGUAAACCCCUGUUGCGAGGGAGGAAUAAGACCUGGAGGAAAUGCCAGGUCGAUGACUGUACCUCGCGAGAAAGCCCCGGCUAACUACGUGCCAGCAGCCGCGGUAAUACGUAGGGGGCGAGCGUUACCCGGAUUCACUGGGCGUAAAGGGGGUGUAGGCGGCUCGGUAAGUCGGGUGUGAAAUCCCACGGCUCAACCGUGGAAUUGCGCCCGAAACUGCCGAGCUUGGGGCCGGUAGAGGGAGACGGAACUGCCGGUGUAGGGGUGAAAUCCGUAGAUAUCGGCAGGAACGCCGGUGGGGAAGCCGGUCUCCUGGGCCGCGCCCGACGCUGAGGCCCGAAAGCUAGGGGAGCAAACCGGAUUAGAUACCCGGGUAGUCCUAGCCGUAAACGAUGCCCACUAGGUGUGGGGGAGUAUUUCCUCCGUGCUGUAGCUAACGCGUUAAGUGGGCCGCCUGGGGAGUACGCCCGCAAGGGUGAAACUCAAAGGAAUUGGCGGGACCCCGCACAAGCGGUGGAGCGCGUGGUUUAAUUGGAUGCUGAGCCAAGAACCUUACCAGGGCUUGACAUGCAGGUGGUACCGACCCGAAAGGGGAGGGACCCCAUCCUUUUGGGUGGGGAGCCUGCACAGGUGGUGCACGGCCGUCGUCAGCUCGUGCCGUGAGGUGUUGGGUUAAGUCCCGCAACGAGCGCAACCCCUGCCCUUAGUUGCCAUCGGUUCGGCCGGGCACUCUAAGGGGACUGCCGGCGACGAGCCGGAGGAAGGAGGGGACGACGUCAGGUACUCGUGCCCUUUAUGCCCUGGGCUACACACGCGCUACAAUGGGUGGUACAGUGGGUUGCGACCCCGCGAGGGGGAGCCAAUCCCUAAAACCACCCCCAGUUCGGAUCGCAGGCUGCAACCCGCCUGCGUGAAGCCGGAAUCGCUAGUAAUCGCG